CAAUAAAGUUAUGUGGUGAAGUUAGCGUUCAGUCAUUAAUUUUCUUCGGAGAGAAAUUAACGUGUAUUUCUAUAAAUUACGCUUGUCGAGAAAUAAUAAAAAAUAAACAAAUAGUUGAAGAUAUUUUCAAUUAAAAAGCCAAUUUUUUGUAAAGUUUAUUAUAAAUUCAAACAAACGACGCAUGUGGAUUACGCGCUGCAUGGGUGGAGCAGGCAUAAGGAUUGCAAUUCGAAUUCAAAGUGUUCCUGACGAAAGAAUUAAAGACGCAGAAAAAAUCGAAGCUAACUGCAAGAAAGAGGGUUUAAAACGUAGUGCAAACCAAUUGGAGAUGAAGUGAAAAUAAAAUAAAAAAAAGCGAAUCAAAUAAAAAGUGUGAAGCAGCAAAUUAGAAGCUGAAAGAAAAAAGUGCAUUUGCAUUCUUAUUGCAUUUUUUUCUUUGUUGCACAUUCCCGUCCGUUCACUGCUUACAGAAUUUAUUGAAGCAAUUCCGUGCAUAUACAAAAAACGAAAAAUAAUUCAAAAUUAAUUUCCGGCGCAUAAAAAUUUUUUCAAAGCUGGAUUAUAAUAAAUCCGACGAUAUUGGAUCUCUACAGGAAAACAAUUCUGGAGUGACCAACAAAAUGGUGAAACGAGUUAAUACCGAGCUAAAAGUGGUGCCCCAAUCAAUCAUAUUAAAGCAAAUUGUCACAAGUCAUUAUUUGAAAUACGACAAAAACAAAACCAUGUUUAAAGCACGCCAUAAACCUCAGUCUAUUCUCGGCGCUUAUAAAGAUGUGUGGAUGUGUGUGGAUAACCACUUGCUAAGUGCGCCAAAUUGAUUUUUAUCGAAUUACGUGUCAAUGCGAUUAAACAAAUUGCAGUUCGGUUCAGUCACAUCAUAAAUGUGUACAUAUGUAAAUAUGUAUGCAUGCACAUAGUAAAUUAUCAUAGAUGCAAAAACCAAUUGGAUUGCCAUUGCGCACAAAUUUAUAAAGCAAUCCUGUCCCUUAUCAGCCUUGUGAUGGAGUACUGUGUGCAAUAAAGCAAUUCGAGUGUCUGAUUCUGCUUCUUGUCAUUCGUGCCAUUGUCCGAUUGUGUAACAGCUGAGGUCUAUGAGCGAUUUGAGAAACUGCGUCUUUCAAUUUUUAUUUACUGAACAAAAAAGCGUACGAAUUUGAAUUCUUACUAUAAAUAUAUCUGUGAAUUGCGACUGCUUAUUUGUCAGCGAAAUACAUUAAAAAAAAAUGUUUUUUGUUUCUUUACGAAUACGAGUAAGUCCAACAGGCAUAGGGGCUACCUGACAUGAGCGCAGUGCGGCACGUGUUCAGAACACGGGCUUUUUUGUUUAAGACAACUCAGCUACUAAUAUUCUUUCAACACCUGGUAGUGUUUUUGAUGAUCUCACUAAAAAGUAAAUAUUAAACUUUCGCUUAUAUUUUCUUAGUUACUAUUCAAUGUAAUUCAAGUGGUUGUUUGUAGUGCUAUGGUUGUUAAAGAGAAAUAUGUAUUCCAAAAUGCGUUCAUAUAUGUAUGCACAAACAUACAGUUGCGAACACGAAAAUAGCAGUACCAAAAAAGAUUAGGUUUUUCUUACAAAAUUUGUAAUCUACGAUGCGAUUAGAAAACUUUCAUAAUUGUUUUGAAUAAUUAUUCCAUUGUUUAACUAAACACAUGUUUAAAUAAAUUCUAUAACGAAAAACAAAAAUUUGUAUAACAAAAAAAUAGCAAUUCAUUGAAUCUACCAAUUGCUCAAAUCGCUGCUUCGGAAUCUUCAGUCACGCAUCUUUAACAAUUUUCCUAAUUUUUUUUGUUGUUGAUUUUUACUCGGUUUGGCUUUGUGUACAGCUCUUUUUAAGUCCCCCCACAGAUUUUCUAUAGGUUUUAGGUCGGGGCAAUGAGCUUGCCAUUCCAUAACUUCAAUUUUAUUUGCGCGAAAACAAUCCUUGGUUGUUGUUGUUGCAUCAGCAUAUUCGUUCUCAAUACGUGUACGGGGAAUGCUACUGGAGUGACAGCCUUUGAACUGAUAUAUAGAUCUCGGUCAUUGCGGUAAUGUAGAAACGACUUUUGUGGGAACGUGGUGAAAAGCAUUGGUUGCAUGAGUGCACUUUCUCACGUGGAAAAAAAAGAAUUUCGCGCCGUUUAUAUUCGAUCAAGAUAAAGAUCCCAAGCGCUCAUCUCACCAUGCAACUCAAUUUUUUGCAGAAAACCAACUACAUCGAAUAGCUCAAUUGGCCAUCACAGUCCUCGAAUUUAAAGCCGAUAGGGCGCUUCAAAAAAAAAACUUCGGGAUCUGUUCGGAGAUCAUCAGUACGUUGAUAUCUCGCCAAGAAAUUGGCAAAUUCAGUCCGAAUUAGGGAAUACUAACUGAUAAGCUUCGGUUUUAUCCAUUUUUUGUUCAGUUUAAGCUACUACAAACUUUGUUUGACGCCUUUGAUAUGAAAUCUUUGUUUUUUAAACAAAUACCUACCUGUGUUUUGAAUGAAACUCCUGAAAAAAGAAAUGUAUUAAUUUUAAUUUAAUGUACCUAUGUAUAUUAUAUUUUUUGUGUUCUGAAAAGCUAUACAAAAUUUAAAAAAAAUUUUUUAAACAAUAACCAUUGUAAAUUCAUAAAUUUACGUUCACAUAUUUUGAUAAUUUUCUUAAUCGCUUAACCGAUAACCGUUUUAAACGAAUCGCGCUCGCGCUUGCGGUGAACAUACUCUUACCCACCAGGCCGAGUGCUGCUAACAUGUUUCGACAUGUUUGUCUUACAUAUGACACAUGAACGAAUCGUGCUUGCCAAUCGCAACUUGUCAUUUGUUCUUAAUAUUUUUAAACAAUAUACAUAAACUUAUAAAAACAAAAUAAAAAAACCUGCUGUUUUUUGGUAACAUGCAUAUUUGUGAAAAACCCGAGCGUCAAGGUGCUAAAAACUAGAUAAUUUUCCUCGACAUAAGCUUUAAUAUUUUCCCCACAAAUAUUUCCCGUUCGUUUUCAUUCGUCGUAGAAAAAAUAUCACGAAAUUGAUAUCAUAAAUUAUGUGUUUCUAAUUUGAGUGCUCUUACUCGGCAAUUUUACUUCAACAGAGCUUUUUUUUCUUUGAUAUUGUAUUACAAAAAUGCCCACCGCCAAUUUCCUUGCUCCUACUUUCUACUUUUCGUACACCAACUCACCCACCCAACCCCUUAAAAAUACGAUUCCCGUGCAUUGGCACAAGUGAAGGCAGCAGCAUCGCGCCGCCAUUAGAACGCUAACACCACCGCAUCUCUUCCAACAUCCAAAAUAAAUCUGCUUUUCAUGCGAUGCGUCUGCGGAAAAAUUAACGCAUGCGCUGCUCUGCCACAAUUGCAAUCCAAUCCAACUCAAUCUAAAAUGCAAUUCUGUGCGAGAACUCGAAAAUGUCUAGUAUGCGAGUGUGUUCAUAUGUAUGUAAGUGCGCACAUUUGUAUGCGUGUGCUAACAUAUUUUUGUACAUCAACGCGUACGCUUUGUUUUUAGAUAAAAUUUUAUACAUUUUUGGAUGCGAUUGCUUCGGCGGCAAUCCAAGCGAGUUGCAGCUGUGAACGCUAAAGUGACGAUAAAAUGAGUGUCCAAGUGAUGCCCCAAAAGGUGGAAUAUAAAUAGCUGAUGUCGGCGUUGGUGUUGUUGUUUAUAUUUCUCUUGCUUUGUUUCUGUUUUUGUACAAUCCUUGAGAUUUAUAUUGCAUAUAUGCGGUUGUUCUUGUUUUGCUUUGUUGCAGCUGCUGUUGCUGUACAAUUUUCGGAGUUCUUACUGCGGUUGGUGUUGUUGUGUUUUGCUUUAUUCCUCCUCAACCUCAACCUGCCUCAAAAGCUAAUUCCUGAGUUGUGUUGAGUUUCAGUUUAUUUUCCUCGAAAAUGUAUCUCAUUUUUUGUUUUUUGUUUUUUCUUUUUUGUUUUUUCUUUUUUGUUUUUGUUAUCCCAAAACACUAAUUUCGUUUUUGUUGCUUCUUCGUGCACAAGCACACACUUAUGCACACAUAUCCACAUAUGCUGCCUGGCCGUCAGUUUGCUUUCAUUUCAUUCGGGAAUUGUUGCUUCUAACUACCAGGUUCUCAGUGCAACAACUGUGGUUGCCUGUCUGCACUUCUUGUUGGCUGUGAGCAACGCAUCUUUCGCCGCGCGCUAUUCAUUCAUUCAUUCAUUCAGUGGCAUGGGUAGAAAAUCAGGUAAGGCAAUGCUUACAGUCGCUGGCUAUUGAAUUAUGAACGAUGCUAUAAACUGAAGAACUCGAAUUUCAGCUUUUGAUAAAAAUUAAACUAGAAGUUGUGCUAAAACUUGAAAAAGGAACAUUGACUUGUUUGUAUGGUACAGACUAUAACGCAAAAUUAAUCACCCUACAAAAAUAUUUAUAAAUUUCGUACAUACGUAAACCAUAUUUCAACUACACUGCUGCAGUAAAUUAACGACAGGCAAUGGAGCGCGUAAAGGUUAAAAUAAAGAUUUCCAUCACUCAAACUCGGUUUUUAUGUAGUAAAACAGUUAUUCAGAAACAAAAUUGUACAUGCUUCGUAUGAUUGUCGAUGCUUCGUAUGAUAUAUCGGUCACCUCGAGAGCCAAUUUUUUGUUUGUUCGAAAAUGCAUUGGCAUUCAUAACUCCGUUCCCAUUAAGUCCCAGUUCCUACCACCGUAACGUACCACUCCAAUAUCAUCAUCACCUCUAUAUAUUCGAUCACCUCAAUAUAUCGUACACUAUGAUCCGUUUAUAGGCUUCGGAUAUAACGAAAAAUGUGAAAAAGCGACCUCUACGUUUAACCAAAAAAUUUUUUUUCGAAAUUACUUUUCAAAAAUACGUCAGAAUCAGUAUGACGAACCCUUUUUUCGGUGCGGUUUGAUAUACAUCCCUCUUUUAACCUUUCGAACACUCCAUGCCAAUAUUUCAUUGUUCGAACGGAUUCAAAUCUUUCCCGUUUUAAUCCAGUUAUUACCAUAAGAACCAGAUAGAAGUUGCACGAGCAAGAUCAUGCAAAUAAAGCCUCAUAACGAGAUUUUCCCAACCUAUUGUUGUUGCAACUUAUACUUAUAUCCAUAGAUUUUUAUAAGAACGUUGCUGCUGUGGCGGUCCGAAUAUAAAUCCGGGUCGUUCCAGUAAUGCAGAACUGACUGUCGUGGGAACGAUAUGUCUGAUUGUUGUUAUUGUUGUAGCAGUAUAAAAAUGCCCCAUACAUAUACGGGGAAUACUGCUGAGGUGACAGUCCUUGUGGGAACUGUUAGUUUCUGUUGUUUGCCCUGGGCAUUUUUCCAGUUUAUUUUGACUCUUGUUGGACUACCAUAAAACCUGCAAUAUUUUGUGCCCAGAAUCCUUCAUUUCCUUCAGAAUUAUUUCACAUGAUACGCCUCACUUCUGCAUGUCUCACUUGUUGUUUUCGAAUUUCUGAAAAAUCUCAAAAAAAAAAAUGAAUCAAUUUUUACCUUGCAUUAUUACCGAAAGUUCAAAAUAAUGUUUUUUUUCUUAUAUUUUGCAAACACGUUAAAAAUGCAUCGAUCAUAAUACAGUGGCCACAGACUGUAUAUAAAUCUGACCUCUGCCACUGCUGACUGCCUGCGUAAAAGCAAUGAAAUAAUGAAUUUAACGACUACCUCGUCCGAGGCAUGUUAUUUUAUUGCAGUUGUUGUUGCAUUAAUAUUUUUCUUUGCGUUCAUACUGAGAUUUCAUAUUGCCUUAAACGAUAAUUCGAUACGCAGCAUUUACCAUUUUAAUCGCCAACGGUUUCCUUUAAUUUAUUUUAUAAAAGUCUAGGCGAGAUCAUAAAAGAAACUAAUACCGAUAAUAAUCAUAACAAUAACAAUUAAAGUAAUUUAUGCACAGAUAACUUCUUUGGUGUUGGAUGGACAAAAAAAUGAAAAUGGACAAAUAAAAAAAAUGUUAAAAAUCAAUGCGGUUUUUGAGCCACUUCAAACUUGUAAUUUAUUGUACCAGAAUUUAACGGGCUAUAAAAAUGCUUACUCGGAAUGGUUCUAAAAAUUAUGCUUAAAAUAAAAUAAAUAAAUAUUUGCAUAAAGUUUGAAACCUGGAUAUACCUGUACAUAGAGUUGGGUAUUUCCCGAGAAAAUCCCAAUCUCGAGAAUCGGGAUUUCCCGAAAUAACGAAAAUUUCAAUUCUCGAGAUGCGGGAUUUCCCGAAAAUAAUUUUUGAGAUUUCUCGAGAAUUCUCGAAAAUUCGGGAAAAAUUCCAAAAAAUUAAAAAAAAAAUCUAAAACCAGUGUAAGAGCAAUGAAUUUCAUAAAAUAUUAUUUUUAUUUAUUUUUAUUAAAGUAUAAACUACAUAAAAAAAUAUUUGAAAAUAUUACUAUUUCAAUUAUUGCAAACAAAAAAGUGAAACAAAAAUAAUUACAAAAAAAUUCAAAACAAAAAUAAUUCAAGAUAAUACUUAUUAAAAUAGGGGGAAAAAGUGAUUGUAAACAUUAUUUCCCAAAUGGUGUUUUAAAAAACACAGACUGUUAAUGGCUUCGUCUGACAAUCGCGUACGCUUUUUGGACCCGCUGUAGAAAAAUUCCUCUCAUUUUGAGUCGAUGUUGGCUUAACAGUGUUAAAAGCCCCGAUCAGUCUUUCAACAUUUUGUGUUUUCUCUCCAGUUUUUUCAUAUAGUUUUAGCUCGUUUCUAAGCGACGAAAACAUCUGGUUCGCCGCAUGUUGCGCAAUGUCUGCUUUCGGUUUUGAGCAUUGCUGAACGUAUUUUUCAAGCUGUUUCGCCAUAUCUUCUUCAUCGACGUUGUUGGUUGCCAGCUGAAAGCUUUGCAUUUACGAGCUCAUAUACUUUUUCAGCGGGACAUGAUUCCUGAAUGCGAACCAGGCCAAGGUUGUCAGAUUGUCCAUCGUCAUAAUAUAUAUGGAUGUUCAUGUAACGUCGGUUUCGCACGCUUGUCCACUCGUCGAUGCUCAAGCUGAACUUACGCUGUACAGAUUUAAAAUUUUCAAUUUUGAUCUUCAAAUCGCUUUUUAUUUUUGUGCAGUACUUCAUAACCAAACCCAGAACAGCUUUGUGACACUUUGGAAGAUGAAAUCCUAAGCGGCUGAUACUAUUACGAAUGAACUCAGUUUUUGUUAUCGCGUUUAUUGGAACUCCAUUUUUUGCUGCCAAUUUUGCAACAAUUUGUUCAAGCGAUUCAGGCGAGGAAGAAGUAUUGAAAAAGUUGUGAAGAGUUCGGGUCUUCUUGGCUGGUGGCUGUUCUUUUGGAGCCUCAUGUUCCCUUCGCUUCAUGUUGUGUAUCCUCUCCAUGUGACGGUGAAGUCCAGAUGUUGACGAUGACUUGCAUUUAAUGAUUUUAUUGCAUUUCAAACAUGUUGCUUCGUCGUCAAAUCGCUUGAAAAGCUGCCACACUUGGUCGUAUUCGUAUUCUGAACUCAUGAUUUUUAAUGCUAAAAAUUCAAAAUUUGUUUUAAAUUUUGUUUUUUAAAGGAAGUAACUAACCGGUACUCACAGUCAACGAUACGUCGAUUCAAAACUUAAAAAUAAGUAAUAUUUGGACCACAAAAUAUUUUAUUAUACGGUGUAUAAUUUAUACUUAAUCAGGUACCACAAAAUGAAAUGCACCCGCUCACUACAAAAAAUAAAUUUACAAACGUCGUCUGUGCAGUCUGCGAACAAAUUGAAAGUGCUUAACUAUUUUCAAAGCAUUCCUAAUUGCUUAACUGCUGCUACAUAUAAGAAACACAUACAACUAAACUUCAUUAGCUUGAUGUUACAGUGCUUUCCCUCGACAUAGCAUAGCAACGCAUCUAGCAUUUACUCUGUAGUCACCCUAAAACAAAAAAAAAACAAACAAAUGGAACAGUUAUACUGUUGUGGCUUUUCGCAUAGCAAUUGAAACUAUGGUGUGAAUUGUAUGUGAUUCUGCGAAACAGUAUGUUCCUUGUAACAUAAUGGCCGUUACAGUUUGGUGUUUCCAGGUAUUAAUCAUAUGUAUGUGUAUUCUUUUACUUUUGAAAGAACUGUUUUUUCUCUUAAUAUUUGACAACAAAAAUUAAAAAAAAAAUGGAUUUCUCGAGAAAUCUUGAAACAUUCUCGAGAUUCGGGAUUUCCCGAAAUGCUAAAAAUUUCAAUUCUCGAGAUUCGGGAUGGAAAAAUAUCGAGAAUUUCUCGAGAAUUCCCGUCGGGAAAUUCCCGAAACCCAACUCUACCUGUACAUGGUUUUUGUAGCAGAAUGAACUAUAUUUUUGUAAAAAAUAAUAUUGAAGUGAACUAAGAUAAAAAUAAAUUGUCGGAACUUGUCAAUAAGAUAUUAAUAAAUAUUAAUAACAUAGGACCACAAUCUCGAAAAAUAUGAUUUUGCCAAUACUGACACCCAAUUUCAACUCAAAUAUGUCGUUUAUCUCUUUUUUAUAAAGUAAGAAGUAUGAAAAUAAGAGGUUAGGCAAAUCAUCGUGUCGAGUUAUAAAGGUCACCAACGAUGGCUUCGCUCCUAUACAGGGUAAAAGGAUAGAUAGUGGGAUAGAUUACGCUGAACUCGAAUAUCAAAUUUCCAUAGACAGAAAGAGAGUGACGAAAUUCCUUUGGAAAGUCACCGUUGGGACGAUGUAAUCAGUUCUUCACAAGGUGUACCGAGUUUGUCACAAUAAUAGACUGGCCUGACCAAAAGUGGGCAUACGCAAAAGAAACUAUUUCUUAAAUAAUCGAAAAAACCGAAUAUCUCGAAAAUUGAAAAAUUAAAAUUUCAUUUUUUUUUAUUAGAAUUUGUCGGAAAAUUUCGAGUAUGCAAGAUUAUAGCCCAUUGAAUCUUAGUCAAUAAAAAUGUCACCUUGAAGUGGCUCAAAAAUCUCGUUUAUUUUUGGCAAGUUUUUUGCCGAUGGUGUUGGGUACUUUCUUCCACAUAAAAAAAAAUAUAUAUCGAGCAUUAUUUUCAAAAGUGCAGCGAUGGAUUCUCUCGCAUUAUUGCCAUAUGUUUUUUUUUGUUUUUAUGUUGUUUUUAUAUUAAUGUUCCCACAGGAGUCGAUUGCACGUUAUAGGAGCGACCCGGAUUUAUAUCCGGCUAAGGACUGUUAGUCGAGCAGCAUUCCCCGUACAUGUAUGGCGAAUGUUUAUGCUGCUACAACAACAACAACAAAAUGUCUUCUCAAUCUCAAAAAACAAUAUCGCACCUACUUUCAGCAUUUUUAUAGAUUUUACACUCACUACUAUACACUUUAAUCUACAGGAAAACUUGUCGCAAAAUAUCUACACGGAUUAUAUAAAAAAUGUUUAAGUAAAACUUCCGCAAAAACCACUACUUUCUAAAAGCCUUACAACCUUGGUGUGUACAGUAAACUCUUGUGUAAUACUACCUUUGGGAAUCCCACCUCUUUUUACAUAAUUCCUUCGAAAAUUUCUCGCUCUCGCAUUUCCUUGUUGCAUCAAAAGUCAACAUUGCGUCAAAAGUCUAAUGUUUUUUUCACUAAGCCAUGUAGUACAUAACAGCUCUUGACAUCUGCCUGUGAAAAUAACAAACUACUCCGUCUGUUUGGUGUCCUCUUUGGUGUCUUUUUUCAUUUCGACAUUUUUUUUACUUCACACUUCGCUGCAAAGUGGUUAACUCGCAUCAUUUAUUGCCCGAGUAACCGACCAAAUGUUAUUUGCUCUGGCCGACCAUUGACCUGCGCGCUCACUGCCUGCUUAGGUGGUGAUGCAGUCGCCAUCGCCGCCACCGCUAUUGGCGGCGCAAAGGCAACAAAAAGAAGCACCACAGCAACAGUUAAAACGAAGGCAAUUGUUGUGGCGGCAAUGACCUGCGGUUAAUCAAAUCUCGGGCAUGGUCGGCAUUAAUUUUGAACGAAUAUUCAAGCGGUCGCGCAUUUAAUCUCAGCUCUGCUGCACAAGCGCUCGUUGGUUGCGUCUCAUUUGUGGCAUGUUGAUUGAUAAUUGAGUCUAGCACGAAACUUAGAUGGAAGAGACGCGACCGGUGCGAAGCAGCAACACACCUAGUCGCAGUGGACCGUCAGCCCGAUUCGGGGAGCUUUUGGGGAGUUGUCUGUCUGCUUUCCUCAGUGCUGUUGCUGCACUGCAAUCAUUUUCAUCUCCCCAUACAUAGCUGUUGCUGUUGUCAGUCCAAUUAUUGUGAAUAAGUGUGCGUGGCAUGAUUUUCACUCAUUUUUCUGAAGCAGUUUAAUCUUUACAAAUUUUCAAGAUGAUUUGCUGAUUAAAUUGUUUGCUAUAAUCACAUGCUCUCCACUCUCGUUGUUUUUGUUUACUUGGCAAUUAGAUUUGUAUUACGUACACACACACAUACACAACCAAGCACUCAUUUUUGCACACACGCUUCACUCACAGUUUUCUGAUUGCUUGCGGUUGGUGGGGCAGCGAGUUUAUAAUGGGUUAAUUUUUCGCUUAUGGCUGAAAAUCGUAAAUCUAAAACGGAAUAUACAAUUUUCGUUUGCCUUUGGAACACUUGGCGAGGGAUAUUUGCUGCGUAAAUAAAAUAAUUUAAACCCAAGUGGGUCUUUAAGAUAAAAAUAAUAAACAUUUUUCUUAAAAUAAAUGGUUACAACGCCAAAAAAUGGCACAAUGGUAUAAACUUAUAAACGAGAACAAAAUAAUAACGAAGAGAAGCGCAUAAGAAACCGCAGAAAACUAGCAAAUGGUUAGAGAGUGGACGAAAUGCAACAUUCAUUUUUAAAAUCAAAAUAAAAGGAUUGAGCUUUUCCUUUGCUUUGCUUUGUUAGAAAGAUCAAAUUUCUAUUAUUUUUCGAAAAGAAAUUCAUUAAUGGCCUCGUCUGUCGCCAUCUAUCCAACGAAUUGUUGACGUAUCCUGCCACUAAGUCUGGCUCCGUUGUUUUUAGAAGUGCUUAGGGAUUUUUUAAGGGCUUAUGUCUACAUAGAGCGAUCGCUUUAGUCGAAUAGAUUGGUGCGUGUCUACUAUUCGGUAGUGCCAAGGUUCGAAUCUCCGGGCAUGUAACACAAGAUGUUAAAAAAUUAAUAGCGGUCGCACCUCUGCGGGCAGUGGCAAACCUCUGGGUGUAUAUCUGCCACGAAAAAGGUCCCCCAUAAAAACUAUCUGCUGUAUGGAGGCAGUAUAAAAGUGUAGGUCUUUUCAUUCGUGGAACAACAAUAAGAGGCACAUCAUAAAUAGCAAGAGGAGCUCGUUGGACAUUUGAGCUUAUAAUUGUUGUUGUUUUAGUAGCAUAAACAUUGCCCAUGUACCUACAUAUGUACGUGGAGUGCUGCUAGAGUGACAGUCCUUGACCGCAUAUAAAUCCGGGUCGCUCCGGCAACGUGGAACCGACUGCCGUGGGAACGAAGUCAUGAUUGUUGUUGUUGUUUUGGUCGUUAUUUGUUCUUGUUGGUGGAGGUGUUAUCCCUGUUGCUAUUUUUUGUCUGUGGUUGUUGUUGUUGGUAAUGGUGGUAGUGUCUCUUGUUGUUGGUAUUGCGUUUAUGUUGGUAUUAUGUCAGUUGUCUUUCUUCUUUUUGUUGUUGUUGCUGCAGUUCACGAUUACCUCUCAAAGUGGGUGCCUUCGACCUCAUUAUUGCACCAGUAUCAAAAAUGUCCCAUUACAAAACGAGCUAGUUUUAACCUUCUAGUUUUCAACAAAUCUAUGAAAUUCGUUUUGAAAUAUGUUAAAAAACCUUUGAAGAAUUUGAAGAAUUGGCUGGCGGGAAUAGAAUUUUGUUCAAACGGGGAAGCGAUUGCAGAAACGAAUGGCUAUUUUUCAGAUUUGGACAAAUCCAAAUAUUCGGGAGGAAUGAACAAAAUGGAAUAGCGUUGGACGAAGUGUACAGGGUUGCCCAUAUUCGACGGACCCGACGGAUUUCGAUGACUCUUUUGGCCCAUUCCAAUCGACGAGGCUUGUCCGCAGGCACCAAUCUUUGCGUCAAUUGAAUCUUAUACGGGAAUAAAUGCAAAUCAAUGCGGAUAAUUCGUUGUAAAGUGGUCCGAGCAAUGCCCAACUGCUAAGAACGGCGAUUUUGGGAUGUCCUUGGCAACGUCUCAACACUGGCCAGUCGAAAACCUUUCGUACAAAGGUUUAAUGGUGUUCUUAGAAGGCCCACUUUUCACAAUAUUUAAUUUUUUAUACGCACGUUGAGUUUUCUCAAUUGACUUCUUUUGUUGAAUGUAAAUUUCAACAAUUUGAGAGCGCUUGUGUGGCGUGUACUGUUCCAUGGUAAAAAUCUGCCUGGGCUGACGCUUCCGACGCGGCACGUCAUUAGGCGAUCUGACGUCUCUAUCAAAAGAUACAGGGUUUCCAGAUUGGUCCGGGGAAUAUGGGCAACCCUGUAUAAGCCUAAAAGGAGACUGGUGAAAAAUAAAAAAGCUUUGCCGCAAACAAUUAAUUAGUUUUUAUUUUUGCACCGACUUUUCAAACUACAAGGGUCGUUACAUACAUAUUUCCAAUGUGACAAACCGAAUUUGAAACUGUUUUUUUCUUAUCAACCGACCAUAUUUUCCUAGAUUACAACUGCGGUCCCAUGCAGCCGAGAUUUAUCAAUUACAACAAAUGCAAGAUGCGGUUUGCUUUCAAAAUACUCUUAUCUUUCGGUAGUUAUAAUCUGCUUUAAGCUAUCGCGACACGCUCAUGCAUUUGCUGUCCAGCAGCUCCAGCGGCUUAUAUGUGUGCGUGUCGGGUGCCACCCGUACUUGUUUCGUGUCACACAUACUUGUUGUCGGCUUUUGCAUGAUGAAAAUCAAAAAUUUUAGAUUUUUUCGCGGGCAAGCGUCAUGCACCCGACACGCACACAUACAUAUGUAAGAGCUGCUGGACAGCAAAUGCAUGAGCGUGUCGCCGUAGCUUUAGAAAAGUGUUAAGGGGGUCUUCUGGUCUCCAGCGAAAAAAAAAUCGAUUUUUUUUUUUGCAUAAUUUUGUUGUAUGUGUAUGCGAGAAUACGCCACAGAAAGGAUUUUUUGAAAAUCGCAUUUUUUCACAUUUUUCUGGGCACCGAAGUGUACCCUCCUCCGGCCGUUUUAUCAUAAACUUUAUCUUUAAACGCGUUUCCCCGAAAAUCGUGUUUUUUAAGCAUUUUGGUCACACUUUUCAUAGUAGUUAUACUCCGAUUUCAAUGGUUUUGGUCUUAAAAGUUCGGAAAACUUACCGCUAAGUUUCCCCGUGUACGAUUUUUGAAAUUUUUUUUCAUUCCAUUUUUAUAACCUUUUAAGUUCAAAAAAUGAGCAAAAAAAAAUUUUUUUUGCAAAUUGUUGCAUAACUUUUGAAAAAAAUUUAAAAAAAAAAAAUCUGUCACGGGAAAACUUAACCAGGGUAACUCUGAAGACAACGCAUAUCUAAUUUUUGCUUUCUGAUUACCCAGGUGGAAAAACCGUGACCAAAAUGGAGACCUGUUUCGUUUGGAGGUGGACGCCUUCAGCGCCAUUUCAAGGUCGCGGGUGUUAAUUUUUUUCAAAGUCAAAACCAUUUUUUAAAAGCCAAGACAUGUACCUUUAAAAUAAAAAAAAUUUUUUUUUAAAAUAUUCACAGGAUUUGUCACAAUCAAUCCCCAAAAAAACCCUUCAUUUCAGGGCCUCGAGACCAGAAGACCCCCUUAAGCGCAUUGAAAGCCUUUUAUCAAACACGAAAGCGCAUGUGAAAAUAUUUUUUUUUGUUUCCAAAAAUUCCUCGAAUUUUCACCCAAAACCCACAUAAAAUGUUUUUGUGUUUGUUUACACAAAUAAGCUAGCAAAUAUUGUUUUUGAUUUCUUAUCUUGGAGAUUUUUGUCCUUCCCCCAAAAUCUUAUCAAACUUGUUGCAAAUCUCGAUAUUUUCGUGCCACUCUGCGCUUGCUGCUGCUUCUCUGCUCUGGCUUAAUCUCUAAAAGUUGUCUGUGUGUCAAUGCGGUGGUUUAGCUAUCAUCUAUUGUACUCGUACGUAUGUAUAUGUGUAUAAAAUUUUGUGUAUAACAACAAAAUUACUAGGCAGUCACGUACAUAUUCAACAAAUAUCGUCUCUCUUUGAUCCGAAGGGAGGAUGGACCUCCUGUUGCCUGACAAUCAGCGUAAGGACGACAACAAAGGCCACAAACCUUCGCAGUCGAACAAAUCUAAUCAACACAAAAACAACUAUUGAAACAUAAAUUUACUUUAUUCACAAUUCACUGCCAUUUUGUGUAUGCGUUUGUAUUUGCGUCUGUGUUUGUCUAGGAUCUGUUUGACAGUUAAUGGUGUCGUUGGUUUGUUGGAAAAUUUUGUUGAAAUUGGUUUCGGAUUGUGCGAGAUGAGACAGCAGUUGCACUCAACCAAAUCCAAGACAAUUUACGCUAAGCCAAUGCGGUGAUUUCUAGUCUGGCUGCUUUGAAUUGAGUUUUCGGUGUGUAAUCCCAGCGCUUUACUGUUGCUCUUUGUCGCUUAUUGUUUUACUUUUAUUCGUUUUAUUUACGAUGUUCAAGAAUGUGCACAUUGACCCAAGAAGUUAUGAUAAGUCCUUUUUCAUAAAAAAGUAAUACAUUCCUUUUUCUAUACCCCCAAAUGCAAUGAAAACUUUAAGCUUCACAGUUGCUCUAUAAAAUUAAGGCGCCUUAAAAACUUUAAUUUUAUCUUUUUUCCAUUUUUAUUUCUAUUUUUAUUUUUAUUUUUAUUUUUUGUAAUCAGUUGUGUCUCUAAAAAAUCAGCAGCAAGCAGACCCCAGCAGCACUCAGUGGCAUGCAUUUUGGUACUUACAAGUAUAGUAUUGAAAUUGUAGCGCUGCUGUUGUCGGUUUUCAUCUAACUGUGGUUGUUUUCGUUAGCACCAUUUGUGUGGUUAUUGCCUUUCAUGGUUUUAUUGCUCUGUUGCUGCUGAAAUAAAUCGAUGCUGCUGACCUAAAUAUGAGUCAACGACAAAAAAAAAGGAGUCAGUGCUGCUAAAUACCUACAAAUGCAUACACACAUAGAAACUUACUUACUUAGAUAUAUUACGUCAGUUUCUAUGUGCGAUAAAGGGUUUUCUCAGAGGCGCUAGCCAUUAAAUGAAAACUAAAUAGUAUUCCAUUACAUUACCUUACCCAUAGAGUAUAUCCAGAUCUGAUCUAGAACCGCUAUCGUAGAGACAUAAUUUUCAACGAUGUGACUGCUUACCAAAUGGGUUCGAUAUAACUGAUAAAUGCAGUGGCUUAUAUGUACAGGGUUGCCAAUAUUCGACGGACCCAUCUGGCAACCCUGUAUCUUUUGACAGAGAUGUCACAUCGCUUAAUGACAUACCGCGUUGGAAGCGUCAAUCUAAGCAGAUUUUUACCAUGGAACAGUACACGCCACGCGAGCUCUCCUAAAUUGUUGAAAUUUACAUUCAACAAAAGAAGUCAAUUGUGAAAACUCAACGUCAACUCAGCGUAAAAAAAUUAAAUAAUGUUAAAAGUGCGCCUUCUAAGAACACCAUUAAACGUUUGUACGAAAGGUUUUCGACUGGUGAUGCUCUUUCUAAUCCAAAGAGGCCAAAUCAAAACCGACCAAGGUGUCGCCAAGGACAUCCCAAAAUCGCCGUUCUCAGCAGAUGGGCAUUGCUCGGACCACUUUAUAACAAAUUAUGCGCAUUGAUUUGCAUUUAUUCCCGUAUAAGAUUCAAUUGACGCAAAGAUUGUUGCCUGCGGACAAGCCUCGUCGAUUGGAAUGGGCCCAAAGCGUCAUCGAUAUCCGUCGGGUCCGUCGAAUAUGGGCUUCGUGUGAUCUUUAGUUUAGUUUAGAAGAAUAUUUAUGAAGCUUUUCACAUAAGUUAGCAUCAUCUUCAUCAUUUGGCGUUACAAGCCGAGGGGGGCUUGUUAGCUUUCUCUACGAUAUUCCUCCAGGUCUCUCUGUCUCUUGCUAGAUAUUUCCAGUUGGUUGCUUCGUGCGUUCGUAGGUCUUCUUCUAUGUAGUUUAUUAGUCGUUUACGCGGGCGAAUUUUAUUUCUCUUUGUCAUAGGUUUGUGCUGCAUUAUUAGUUUUCUUCCAUUCUUAGAAAAUGUCCAAUUAACCUUAGCUUUUGCUCUUCGAUGAUGAAUUUGACAAUGCCCGUCCUCGCCAUGCAUAAAUUAGAGUAACUCUUUGUUGGUUCGUAUUAUAUAAUCACUUCUUUUGUUUAGUCUGGGGCUAUAUAUCCUCCAGAGUAUCUUUCUCUCAAAGACUCGGACGGGUUCUUCUUCGGGUGUUGUCAUAAACCACAUUUCCGAGCCAUAUGUAGCAAUGGGUCCCAAUAUUAUUGUUAUAUAUACUCAGCUUGCAAUUCCUAGUCCAGAGCAUGUUUUAUUUGCAGCAAUUAUUCGUUCCUGAAUGAUAUCUAACGUGAUUGCCUUGUAUUCUAAAUAAUUUCUUAGGGCAAUUUUCAUAUUAUCAGAUAUCGAAAACGAAUAUCAAUAAGUGUAAAUCCAUACAAAUUGCAUUGCCGUGAAAUAUGCAUGAAAUUUCAUAUGCACCUCACGGUAGAGUAGUACUCAGUUCACACCGUGAAAACACCACGCAACAUGCCAGCAACAUUUUUUCACCCUAUUUCAAAUGCGCAUCACUUAAACUUGAGCAAGAAGUGUCAGUUCGUUUGCAAGUGAAGUGCCUGAGUUUGAAUACUCCGCAGACCUGGCAUUUUAAAGCGAAACGUCUUUACAAAGAGUGUAGGUAUCAUAAAUCUACUUUAUACUACAUAUUUUUUCUUUUGUCAAUAUAUAUGAAUGUGUGUUAAUUUGUUUAAAAAUACGUUUUUUGCCAAAAUUUUUCAUACAUUUCUUUGUUUACAUUUAUUCAAUUUUUAAUUUGGACAAUUCAAUUAUUUUCUUCUCAGUUGACAAUCAGUGUUGCUAGUAACUUUUCACGGCUAUUAAAAUGCAUGUUGCUGGCGAAAUUUCAUGUGAAGUUAGUACUAACAACCACAAAAUUUGGCCGCUCUUUAUAGCUUUAGAGUGUCAGCAACAUAAAGGCGUUACAUAUCUAAAAAGUUUACAUAACUCUCUUAUUGAAUAACCCUGUAUUUAUGCUCAACGCUACCUUUUUUUGAUUUAGUUUUCCGUUUUUGUUUCCACAUAGUUUUGUUGUGAAUUGCUUAUGCUGUUUAUAGUUUGUAUGUUACUCGUAUGUGUUUGUCAGACAUAUCUGGUGCAAGUUGACACUUUGGUAAAUCGAAAUUGUUUUUGAAAUUUUAAAUCAUUAAGACAAUAAUUGAGUUCUGUAAAUGUUGCUGUUGUCACAAACAAAGUGAUUAUAAAAUAUUGAAAUUAAAGGUUUAAAGUUUCAUGGUAAUAAUUAUUAAUCCAUUUCGAAGAAGAAACAAGUGGUGAGUUACAGUUGAUUUUAUAGUUGGGAGAAUGCCAAUAUGUCAAGGCUGAUUAGAGAAGAGAAAGUGUCAAACAUUUGAAUACAAUAAAAUUUAUAGAAUGGAAUUGAGUACAGCGUGAAAGUUAGUUGAAUGUUUCAUAAAUAUUUCUUGAUUGCUUUUUAUAAGUUCUUAUAAGUUUUUAUAAGUUAACAAGUUUGCAGAAAGUGGAAUAAAUUUAUGAUUCGCAUGUUGUGCUGAGUUUCAAUCCAAAAUAAUCUGGAACUACACUGCAGCCUCUCCAAUAGUAACACACAAGCAGUAUUAAAUUUUUGAGAAAAAAAUGCAAUCACUUGAAAUAAGUAUAUUUAAUCCUCAAGGCCUCAUUUAUAUUUAGUCCUUAACUUCACAGCUGUGAAAUUUCGCCAGCAACACGCACUUCAUUUGGGGUGAAAUGUUGCUAGCAACAUUGAUUGGCAAAGGAGAGGACACGCUAAAUUUAUGAGUGUCGCCCCAGAAGAAAUUGCCCAAUUUUUGUAAUAAAGUGGUUUUACACGAGCUAUCACACACAUGCACAUAUAUAUAUUUACACAAAAAAUAUAAAGAAAAUUUACUUACACUCUUUGCGAAGACGGGUUUCUUAAAAAGGCUAUGUCUUCGGAGUAUUCAAAGGCGCUUCACUCGUAAACGAUCUGUCAGUUUUCGCUCAUAUGACAUGAGUAUUUAAAUUUGGUGAAAAAAUGUUGCUAGCAUCAUGUUCCUGGUGACUGUGCGCGGUGUUUCUACUGCUUAAAUUGCAUACUACAUUGCCGUGAGGUACAUACGGCAAUACAAUUUGUAUAGAUUUUGACAGCCAUUGCACGUGUAACGCGAACUUAGUACUAUGCUUUAUAAGAAAUUUAUCUGAAGAAACAUAUUCUACUCAAUGUGGUUUUUUCCAUAAAAGAAAAUUUGGGGGAAAAAAUUUAAUUAAACAAUUUAAUAUACUAGUUCAUCACAUUCCUCUCUUUGGGUCAUUGUCGUAAAAAGCAGAUUGCAAAUAUUCAAGUCGUUCCCACGACAGUCGGUUCUACGUAACCGGAACGACCCGGAUUUAUAUCCGGCCAAAGACUGUCACUUCAGCAGCAAUCCCAGUAUAUAUAUGGGGAUUAUUUAUGCUGCUACAACAUCAACAACCACAGAAUACCCUUUGAGUCUACUGUUGCUUUUGCUUUUGUACCCUUGGUAUGGUAUAAUACCAAUACAAACGUGGCGGGGUCAAUAUGGUACAUAUUGACAGGUUAUUGUCCAUUGAAACUGAGUGAUCCUUCUUUUUCCCAGACUUCUCUUGAUCAAUAAAAGCUGGAUACAGCUUCUGACUUAUGUGUUGAUGACUCUUCCAGCUUAUUGCAAUACAUCGUAUUGCAUUCCGGUAUUCAAACUUUUUAUGAAUACUUUCCCAUGAAGCUUUAAAAAGUCUGAAACCAUUAUUAGCAAAUGUAGACUUAGUUUAGAAUUGAUUCUCUGUCUGGGAAUCGAUUUCAAUAAUCCCAGGUUUCUGGGCAACUGGAAAUUUAUAAUUUAAUCUUGAUAAGGGUCUGCGUUAACAUACACACUUUCUAAAUACAAACACUCGUACUCGAUUUUUUGCUCAACGACAGGAGAACAACAAAGAAAUAACCGAACUCACUACAAUUCAUUCAACCUGUCCCACGCGACGUAUCAACUUGUCGGCAAAAAAUCGUGAAGACAAAGAAACUCACGAAGACUCAGACCAACCAGUUCUUUGUGCGCCAAAAAACACUUUUCUCUGCUUGCGAUUUUUUUUUACAUAUUUGUAUGUGGACGUAGAUAUGUACAUACAUAUGAAUAAGUAUCCAUGCAUAUGUAAGUUAUUCAAAAAAGGAUGUUCACACUUCUGCUUUUUCCUGAAAUAAGCAAAGGGAAUUUAAGAGUUUAAGUACAUGGAAAAGUGUGCGAUGAUCGAAAACAAGCAAAGUAGCAAAAGAAAAAGUGAUUUGAAAAAGUGGUUUGAAUGAAAAGUAAGGGGUUUGGGUAAUUCGUUGACAAUAGCAAUGGUAGUGAUAGAUGGUAGGCGUUAGGCAGGCGUUAGUCUUUUGUUUUCAUACUCACGGCGGUAUAUCCUGUUUCUGGUUUUGUGUCAUCUGAUAGAGCACUCUGAUGCCAGAAUGACGAUGAGGGCUGCCAGCUGCAGGGGUUCAGAACAGCGACUAACAAUGAGGAGCGAAAAAAUGAUAUCAAUUUAGGAGAAUAAAAUGAAAUAAAGCAAAUUAUAGUUGAAAUUAAAAUCAAACUGGGCUGAACCAAAUUAAAUUACACAUAGCUGAGUUAUAUAAAAUUGAGGAAGUAAAUUGAAUUGAUAAACAUGUAAAAAUGGAAUAUGGAAAUAAAAUGAAGUAAAGCAACAGAACACAACUGAACAUUACAUAAGACAACUUAAUAAAACAUAGCAGAAUAGAAUAAAGCCAAAACGAAAAUGAAAGAAAAAAUAAAAACAGGGGAGAAAACAUGGAAAAAAGGAAAAAAAAGAAAAAAGGAAAAAAAAGAAAAAAAAGAAA
Molecule: long non-coding RNA, 19616 nt
Organism: Anastrepha ludens (Mexican fruit fly)
Lineage: Eukaryota; Metazoa; Arthropoda; Insecta; Diptera; Tephritidae
Exons: 3
Source: RefSeq, a predicted model, not a curated record